UAUAGGAGGUCCAGCCUGCCCAGUGACGACAAGUUUAACGGCCGCGGUAUCCUGACCGUGCGAAGGUAGCGCAAUCACUUGUCUUUUAAAUAGAGACCUGUAUGAAUGGCCAAACGAGGGCUUAACUGUCUCCCCUUUCAAGUCAGUGAAAUUGAUCUACCCGUGCAGAAGCGGGUAUAAUAAUACAAGACGAGAAGACCCUUUGGAGCUUAAGGUACAAAACUCAACCCAUACAACAACCUAACUUAAACCCUGAAACUUCGUGGGGUGUGAUAUUUUACCUUCGGUUGGGGCGACCACGGAGGAAAAAAAAGCCUCCCAGUGGACCGGGACAAACCUCCUAAAUCUAAGAGAGACAUCUCUAAGCCGCAGAACAUCUGACCAAACACGAUCCGGUAACAAAACCGAUCAACGAACCAAGUUACCCUAGGGAUAACAGCGCAAUCCUCUCCCAGAGUCCAUAUCGACGAGGGGGUUUACGACCUCGAUGUUGGAUCAGGACAUCCUAAUGGUGCAGCCGCUAUUAAGGGUUCGUUUGUUCAACGAUUAAAGUCCUACGUGA
RNAcentral lists this ribosomal RNA (562 nucleotides) under Acrossocheilus parallens. Its description in RNAcentral is "partial 16S ribosomal RNA". It matches the Rfam family "Bacterial large subunit ribosomal RNA", at positions 1844 to 2603 of the family's 2925-position model. Lineage: Eukaryota; Metazoa; Chordata; Actinopteri; Cypriniformes; Cyprinidae. The record is from RNAcentral.